GUGAGGAGAAGGAAGAGGCCGAAGGCUGGGCUUCUGGUGCCGUUGGGGAUCAGCCAUAUCCCCCAGUGCCUCCCAGGUCCACUAGUGCCAACACCUCACUGUCUCCUCAG
Molecule: microRNA precursor, 110 nt
Filed under: Microtus ochrogaster (prairie vole)
Lineage: Eukaryota; Metazoa; Chordata; Mammalia; Rodentia; Cricetidae
Description: miRNA (ENSMOCG00000011518.1)
Source: RNAcentral